UGCCAGCACCAUACGACCCUGCAUCCCACUGCUGGCUUGCUUUUGAAGCUAAGCAGGGUUGGUCCUGGUCAGUUCCUGGAUGGUAGACCAGAUGCUGCUGUAAGUGGUGUUGGAGG
This 116-nucleotide ribosomal RNA is filed under the name Hucho hucho (huchen). Lineage: Eukaryota; Metazoa; Chordata; Actinopteri; Salmoniformes; Salmonidae. The record is from RNAcentral.